AUUGAACGCUGGCGGCAUGCCUUACACAUGCAAGUCGAACGGCAGCAUGAUCUAGCUUGCUAGAUUGAUGGCGAGUGGCGAACGGGUGAGUAAUACAUCGGAACGUGCCCUGUAGUGGGGGAUAACUAGUCGAAAGAUUAGCUAAUACCGCAUACGACCUGAGGGUGAAAGUGGGGGACCGCAAGGCCUCAUGCUAUAGGAGCGGCCGAUGUCUGAUUAGCUAGUUGGUGAGGUAAAGGCUCACCAAGGCGACGAUCAGUAGCUGGUCUGAGAGGACGAUCAGCCACACUGGGACUGAGACACGGCCCAGACUCCUACGGGAGGCAGCAGUGGGGAAUUUUGGACAAUGGGCGAAAGCCUGAUCCAGCAAUGCCGCGUGUGUGAAGAAGGCCUUCGGGUUGUAAAGCACUUUUGUCCGGAAAGAAAUGGCUCUGGUUAAUACCUGGGGUCGAUGAUGGUACCGGAAGAAUAAGGACCGGCUAACUACGUG
RNAcentral lists this ribosomal RNA (490 nucleotides) under uncultured bacterium. RNAcentral describes it as "partial 16S ribosomal RNA". It matches the Rfam family "Bacterial small subunit ribosomal RNA", at positions 30 to 507 of the family's 1533-position model. The record is from RNAcentral.